UACGUAUGGUGCAAGCGUUAUCCGGAUUUACUGGGUGUAAAGGGAGCGCAGGUGGCACGGCAAGCCUGAUGUGAAAGCCCGCGGCCCAACCGCGGGACUGCAUUGGGAACUACCGGGCUGGAGUGCCGGAGAGGUAGGCGGAAUUCCUAGUGUAGCGGUGAAAUGCGUAGAUAUUAGGAGGAACACCAGUGGCGAAGGCGGCCUACUGGACGGUGACUGACGCUGAGGCUCGAAAGCGUGGGGAGCAAACAGG
RNAcentral lists this ribosomal RNA (253 nucleotides) under uncultured bacterium. Its description in RNAcentral is "partial 16S ribosomal RNA". It matches the Rfam family "Bacterial small subunit ribosomal RNA", at positions 524 to 776 of the family's 1533-position model. The record is from RNAcentral.